GGGUUGUGAGGUUAAGCGACUAAGCGUACACGGUGGAUGCCCUGGCAGUCAGAGGCGAUGAAGGACGUGCUAAUCUGCGAUAAGCGCCGGUAAGGUGAUAUGAACCGUUAUAACCGGCGAUUUCCGAAUGGGGAAACCCAGUGUGAUUCGUCACACUAUCAUUAACUGAAUCCAUAGGUUAAUGAGGCGAACCGGGGGAACUGAAACAUCUAAGUACCCCGAGGAAAAGAAAUCAACCGAGAUUCCCCCAGUAGCGGCGAGCGAACGGGGAGGAGCCCAGAGCCUGAAUCAGCAUGUGUGUUAGUGGAAGCGUCUGGAAAGGCGCGCGAUACAGGGUGACAGCCCCGUACACAAAAGCGCAUGUGCUGUGAGCUCGAUGAGUAGGGCGGGACACGUGGUAUCCUGUCUGAAUAUGGGGGGACCAUCCUCCAAGGCUAAAUACUCCUGACUGACCGAUAGUGAACCAGUACCGUGAGGGAAAGGCGAAAAGAACCCCGGCGAGGGGAGUGAAAAAGAACCUGAAACCGUGUACGUACAAGCAGUGGGAGCCCCACCACCAAAGCAUUCUCUGGUGUUGAAGGCCCUGCAAAGCAGCAUCGCGGUGGCGGAGCGUCGUUUGCGACGCCCAACACACAAAACAAGCGGUGAGUGCUUUGGGGUGGGGUGACUGCGUACCUUUUGUAUAAUGGGUCAGCGACUUAUAUUCUGUAGCAAGGUUAACCGUAUAGGGGAGCCGUAGGGAAACCGAGUCUUAACCGGGCGUUAAGUUGCAGGGUAUAGACCCGAAACCCGGUGAUCUAGCCAUGGGCAGGUUGAAGGUUGGGUAACACUAACUGGAGGACCGAACCGACUAAUGUUGAAAAAUUAGCGGAUGACCUGUGGCUGGGGGUGAAAGGCCAAUCAAACCGGGAGAUAGCUGGUUCUCCCCGAAAGCUAUUUAGGUAGCGCCUCGUGAAUUCAUCUCCGGGGGUAGAGCACUGUUUCGGCUAGGGGGCCAUCCCGGCUUACCAACCCGAUGCAAACUGCGAAUACCGGAGAAUGUUAUCACGGGAGACACACGGCGGGUGCUAACGUCCGUCGUGAAGAGGGAAACAACCCAGACCGCCAGCUAAGGUCCCAAAGUCAUGGUUAAGUGGGAAACGAUGUGGGAAGGCCCAGACAGCCAGGAUGUUGGCUUAGAAGCAGCCAUCAUUUAAAGAAAGCGUAAUAGCUCACUGGUCGAGUCGGCCUGCGCGGAAGAUGUAACGGGGCUAAACCAUGCACCGAAGCUGCGGCAGCGACGCUGAUGCGUUGUUGGGUAGGGGAGCGUUCUGUAAGCCUGUGAAGGUGGCCUGUGAGGGUUGCUGGAGGUAUCAGAAGUGCGAAUGCUGACAUAAGUAACGAUAAAGCGGGUGAAAAGCCCGCUCGCCGGAAGACCAAGGGUUCCUGUCCAACGUUAAUCGGGGCAGGGUGAGUCGACCCCUAAGGCGAGGCCGAAAGGCGUAGUCGAUGGGAAACGGGUUAAUAUUCCCGUACUUGGUGUUACUGCGAAGGGGGGACGGAGAAGGCUAUGUUGGCCGGGCGACGGUUGUCCCGGUUUAAGCGUGUAGGUGUGUGUUCCAGGUAAAUCCGGUUCACUUUAACACUGAGGCGUGAUGACGAGGCACUACGGUGCUGAAGCAACAAAUGCCCUGCUUCCAGGAAAAGCCUCUAAGCAUCAGGUAACAUCAAAUCGUACCCCAAACCGACACAGGUGGUCAGGUAGAGAAUACCAAGGCGCUUGAGAGAACUCGGGUGAAGGAACUAGGCAAAAUGGUGCCGUAACUUCGGGAGAAGGCACGCUGACACGUAGGUGAAGUGAUUUACUCAUGGAGCUGAAGUCAGUCGAAGAUACCAGCUGGCUGCAACUGUUUAUUAAAAACACAGCACUGUGCAAACACGAAAGUGGACGUAUACGGUGUGACGCCUGCCCGGUGCCGGAAGGUUAAUUGAUGGGGUCAGCGCAAGCGAAGCUCCUGAUCGAAGCCCCGGUAAACGGCGGCCGUAACUAUAACGGUCCUAAGGUAGCGAAAUUCCUUGUCGGGUAAGUUCCGACCUGCACGAAUGGCGUAAUGAUGGCCAGGCUGUCUCCACCCGAGACUCAGUGAAAUUGAACUCGCUGUGAAGAUGCAGUGUACCCGCGGCAAGACGGAAAGACCCCGUGAACCUUUACUAUAGCUUGACACUGAACAUUGAGCCUUGAUGUGUAGGAUAGGUGGGAGGCUUUGAAGCGUGGACGCCAGUCUGCAUGGAGCCGGCCUUGAAAUACCACCCUUUAAUGUUUGAUGUUCUAACGUGGACCCGUGAUCCGGGUUGCGGACAGUGUCUGGUGGGUAGUUUGACUGGGGCGGUCUCCUCCUAAAGAGUAACGGAGGAGCACGAAGGUUGGCUAAUCCUGGUCGGACAUCAGGAGGUUAGUGCAAUGGCAUAAGCCAGCUUGACUGCGAGCGUGACGGCGCGAGCAGGUGCGAAAGCAGGUCAUAGUGAUCCGGUGGUUCUGAAUGGAAGGGCCAUCGCUCAACGGAUAAAAGGUACUCCGGGGAUAACAGGCUGAUACCGCCCAAGAGUUCAUAUCGACGGCGGUGUUUGGCACCUCGAUGUCGGCUCAUCACAUCCUGGGGCUGAAGUAGGUCCCAAGGGUAUGGCUGUUCGCCAUUUAAAGUGGUACGCGAGCUGGGUUUAGAACGUCGUGAGACAGUUCGGUCCCUAUCUGCCGUGGGCGCUGGAGAACUGAGGGGGGCUGCUCCUAGUACGAGAGGACCGGAGUGGACGCAUCACUGGUGUUCGGGUUGUCAUGCCAAUGGCACUGCCCGGUAGCUAAAUGCGGAAGAGAUAAGUGCUGAAAGCAUCUAAGCACGAAACUUGCCCCGAGAUGAGUUCUCCCUGAGACUUAGAGUCUCCUGAAGGAACGUUGAAGACGACGACGUUGAUAGGCCGGGUGUGUAAGCGCAGCGAUGCGUUGAGCUAACCGGUACUAAUGAACCGUGAGGCUUAACCUUACAACGCCGAAG
This 3029-nucleotide ribosomal RNA is filed under the name Salmonella enterica. Its description in RNAcentral is "partial 23S ribosomal RNA". It matches the Rfam family "Bacterial large subunit ribosomal RNA". Lineage: Bacteria; Pseudomonadati; Pseudomonadota; Gammaproteobacteria; Enterobacterales; Enterobacteriaceae. The record is from RNAcentral. RNAcentral also lists the same sequence under 1 other name.